GACGAACGCUGGCGGCGUGCUUAACACAUGCAAGUCGAACGGAAAGGCCCUGCUUUUGUGGGGUGCUCGAGUGGCGAACGGGUGAGUAACACGUGAGUAACCUGCCCUUGACUUUGGGAUAACUUCAGGAAACUGGGGCUAAUACCGGAUAGGAGCUCCUGCUGCAUGGUGGGGGUUGGAAAGUUUCGGCGGUUGGGGAUGGACUCGCGGCUUAUCAGCUUGUUGGUGGGGUAGUGGCUUACCAAGGCUUUGACGGGUAGCCGGCCUGAGAGGGUGACCGGCCACAUUGGGACUGAGAUACGGCCCAGACUCCUACGGGAGGCAGCAGUGGGGAAUAUUGCACAAUGGGCGGAAGCCUGAUGCAGCAACGCCGCGUGCGGGAUGACGGCCUUCGGGUUGUAAACCGCUUUCGCCUGUGACGAAGCGUGAGUGACGGUAAUGGGUAAAGAAGCACCGGCUAACUACGUGCCAGCAGCCGCGGUGAUACGUAGGGUGCGAGCGUUGUCCGGAUUUAUUGGGCGUAAAGGGCUCGUAGGUGGUUGAUCGCGUCGGAAGUGUAAUCUUGGGGCUUAACCCUGAGCGUGCUUUCGAUACGGGUUGACUUGAGGAAGGUAGGGGAGAGUGGAAUUCCUGGUGGAGCGGUGGAAUGCGCAGAUAUCAGGAGGAACACCAGUGGCGAAGGCGGUUCUCUGGGCCUUUCCUGACGCUGAGGAGCGAAAGCGUGGGGAGCGAACAGGCUUAGAUACCCUGGUAGUCCACGCUGUAAACGGUGGGUACUAGGUGUGGGGUCCAUUCCACGGGUUCCGUGCCGUAGCUAACGCUUUAAGUACCCCGCCUGGGGAGUACGGCCGCAAGGCUAGAACUCAAAGGAAUUGACGGGGCCCCGCACAAGCGGCGGAGCAUGCGGAUUAAUUCGAUGCAACGCGUAGAACCUUACCUGGGUUUGACAUGGAUCGGGAGCGCUCAGAGAUGGGUGUGCCUCUUUUGGGGUCGGUUCACAGGUGGUGCAUGGCUGUCGUCAGCUCGUGUCGUGAGAUGUUGGGUUAAGUCCCGCAACGAGCGCAACCCUUGUUCACUGUUGCCAGCACGUUAUGGUGGGGACUCAGUGGAGACCGCCGGGGUCAACUCGGAGGAAGGUGGGGAUGACGUCAAGUCAUCAUGCCCCUUAUGUCCAGGGCUUCACGCAUGCUACAAUGGCUGGUACAGAGAGUGGCGAGCCUGUGAGGGUGAGCGAAUCUCGGAAAGCCGGUCUCAGUUCGGAUUGGGGUCUGCAACUCGACCUCAUGAAGUCGGAGUCGCUAGUAAUCGCAGAUCAGCAACGCUGCGGUGAAUACGUUCCCGGG
Molecule: ribosomal RNA, 1343 nt
Filed under: uncultured bacterium
Lineage: Bacteria
Description: 16S ribosomal RNA
Rfam family: Bacterial small subunit ribosomal RNA
Source: RNAcentral